This 343-nucleotide ribosomal RNA is filed under the name uncultured bacterium. RNAcentral's name for it is "bacterial SSU rRNA". It matches the Rfam family "Bacterial small subunit ribosomal RNA", at positions 72 to 422 of the family's 1533-position model. The record is from RNAcentral.
AAGUUCCUUCGGGAAUGAGUACAGCGGCGGACGGGUGAGUAACACGUAAGAAUCUGCCCUAUAGUGAAGAAUACCUUCGAGAAAUUGAAGUUAAUGCUGCAUGAGUCCUUCGGGAGAAAGACGUCUUUUAUGUCGUCGCUAUAGGAUGAGCUUGCGGACUAUCAGCUUGUUGGUGAGGUAAAGGCUCACCAAGGCUAUGACGGUUAACCGGCCUGAGAGGGUGUACGGUCACACAGGCACUGAGAUACGGGCCUGACUCCUACGGGAGGCAGCAGUGGGGAAUAUUGCGCAAUGGGCGAAAGCCUGACGCAGCGACGCCGCGUGGAGGACGAAGGUCUUAGGA